RNAcentral lists this ribosomal RNA (442 nucleotides) under uncultured bacterium. Its description in RNAcentral is "partial 16S ribosomal RNA". It matches the Rfam family "Bacterial small subunit ribosomal RNA", at positions 338 to 795 of the family's 1533-position model. The record is from RNAcentral.
CCUACGGGUGGCUGCAGUUGGGAAUCUUGCACAAUGGGGGAAAGCCUGAUGCAGCGACGCCGCGUGGAGGAAGAAGGGUCUAGGCUCGUCAACUCCUUUUUCAGGGAAGGACUCAGGACGGUAACCUGAGAAUAAGCUCCGGCUAACUACGUGCCAGCAGCCGCGGUAAGACGUAGGGAGCGAGCGUUGUCCGGAUUUACUGGGCGUAAAGAGCACGUAGGCGGUCUGUUAAGUGAGAAGUGAAAUCUCCAGCGCUCAACGCGGAAACGGCUUUUCAUACUGGCAGACUUGAGGAAUGCAGAGGCAAGUAGAAUUCCUGGUGUAGCGGUGACAUGGGUUGGUAUCAGGAGGAAUACCAACGGCGAAGGCAGCUUGCUGGGCAUCAUCUGACGCUGAGGUGCGAAAGCGUGGGUAGCAAACAGGAUUAGAUACCCCUGUAGUC